CAGAGAAUAGUUUAAUUAAAAUUCUGGCUUUGGGAGUCAGUGAUAGGGGUUAAAGUCCCCUUUUUCUGA
RNAcentral lists this transfer RNA (69 nucleotides) under Nothobranchius kafuensis (Kafue killifish). RNAcentral describes it as "tRNA-Pro". It matches the Rfam family "tRNA". Rfam says of the family: Transfer RNA (tRNA) molecules are approximately 80 nucleotides in length. Their secondary structure includes four short double-helical elements and three loops (D, anti-codon, and T loops). Further hydrogen bonds mediate the characteristic L-shaped molecular structure. tRNAs have two regions of fundamental functional importance: the anti-codon, which is responsible for specific mRNA codon recognition, and the 3' end, to which the tRNAs corresponding amino acid is attached (by aminoacyl-tRNA synthetases). tRNAs cope with the degeneracy of the genetic code in two manners: having more than one tRNA (with a specific anti-codon) for a particular amino acid; and 'wobble' base-pairing, i.e. permitting non-standard base-pairing at the 3rd anti-codon position. Lineage: Eukaryota; Metazoa; Chordata; Actinopteri; Cyprinodontiformes; Nothobranchiidae. The record is from RNAcentral.